Molecule: long non-coding RNA, 411 nt
Organism: Mytilus trossulus (common blue mussel)
Lineage: Eukaryota; Metazoa; Mollusca; Bivalvia; Mytilida; Mytilidae
Exons: 4
Source: RefSeq, a predicted model, not a curated record
AGACAUUCGUUCAAGUCGAGAUAUUAACAUCUCAUUAAUAAUUGUUGGCAGCAUUAUUUGUGGAAUAACAGUGAUGAUUGUAGGAGCAAUAAUUGUAUUCGUUUUACGAAAGUCAGGCACUGCCAGAGAAAACAGAGAUCAGACAUAUGAUGAUAUAAACCUUGGACCUUUUUAUGGAAACCAAGAUUCCAACCAAACAUACGUGUACCUUAAUGAUAACCAAUCAACAGUCGUGACUAAUGGGGUUUGACAGUAAAGAAUGGAAACUAGAUUAAAGGACCUUUCAAGGACGUAAUGAGAUCUAAUAUUUGUUAAUUUCCUGGGAGUUUUGGUCUUUGAUGGAGAAUUGUCUCAUUGGCAAUCAUACUAUAUCGUUUUAUUCUUAUAUUGGACUAAUAAUUUCUGUAAAUU